RNAcentral lists this ribosomal RNA (465 nucleotides) under uncultured bacterium. RNAcentral's name for it is "partial 16S ribosomal RNA". It matches the Rfam family "Bacterial small subunit ribosomal RNA", at positions 339 to 795 of the family's 1533-position model. The record is from RNAcentral.
CUACGGGGGGCAGCAGUGAGGAAUUUUGCGCAAUGGGGGAAACCCUGACGCAGCAACGCCGCGUGAGUGAUGAAGGCCCUCGGGUCGUAAAGCUCUGUCAAGUGGGAAGAACCUAUCGAUAUUGAAUAGAUAUUGAUACUGACGGUACCACAAGAGGAAGCACCGGCUAACUCCGUGCCAGCAGCCGCGGUAAUAUGGGGGGUGCAAGCGUUAUUCGGAAUCAUUGGGCGUAAAGGGCGCGCAGGCGGCCUUGUCAGUCAGAUGUGAAAGCCCGGGGCUCAACCCCGGAAGUGCAUUUGAAACUAUGAGGCUUGAGUAUGGGAGAGGGAAGUGGAAUUCCUGGUGUAGCGGUGAAAUGCGUAGAUAUCAGGAGGAACACCGGUGGCGAAGGCGACUUCCUGGACCAAUACUGACGCUGAGGCGCGAAGGCGUGGGGAGCAAACAGGAUUAGAUACCCCGGUAGUC